Long non-coding RNA from Drosophila subpulchrella, 1888 nucleotides. RefSeq lists it as uncharacterized. The transcript has 4 exons. The record is from RefSeq and is a predicted model, not a curated record. NCBI's taxonomy places the organism in Eukaryota, Metazoa, Arthropoda, Insecta, Diptera, Drosophilidae.
AAAACGUAAACAAAUGUAAAUAUCUACAAAUAUUGACGGAAAAAUUGAUGAAAUUUGGUGGCUAUCGAUGACCUAGCCAAGCGCUCCCACCCAACCGUGGAUGCCCUCAAGAUGCUGCAGGGCACACCCUAUUAUCUGUCGGCAGGAGCCCCCUCCUCGCGACUACGACGGUUCCAUCUCCCCCACUGGAAAAACUCACACAUUUUCGGUUUCACAAAUGUUUACUGAAUAUGCCUUUAAGACCGAAACCUGGCCGCCGUCUUCAAUACUUACGCGGUCAAAGCAGAGGAUUUGUUUUGCUGGAAAAGGGUACAGGCGCCGCGGAAAGUUAUGCUCUACCAGUCACUUAUUGGUAGAGCUCGCAUGGAACCACGGCCCUCAAAAGGAACAUACGCGAUGCGCGUGUGUAUGGGCACCUAAUCCUGAGGAGAUCCAGGGGAAAAGAAUGGACAGGCCAAAAAGGCAAACAACGAGGACAAAUAAGGCUCUCGGGUCUAACUCCGCAUACAUUCGCAAUUGAACAGGGAUGUAAAUAUCAAUAUAUUUAAUCAAGGUACACGUGUAUUUAAUUUUUCCUAAAUUUCAGCCGGCCGGCCUUCUCGCCGGAGGCCAGCAGCGAUACGGGUCUCCAAGAAAGAAAACUGGCGCACUACGGUGAGUUGUGCAAGGGCAGUCGGAGGUUCGGCCGCCCGACAAAAUAGCGGUACUUCUCAACGCCGCGAUGCGACGGCUGGAAGUUCCCGAGAUGAGGUGGACGUGGUAGACCGGAACGGACUAACCGGGAAAUGCUUGAUGUCGUCGGCGUCGACUGCGAAGGCGUUUAUGGCUGGUCUUCUAUGCGGGUCGAACGGACACCGGUUGCUGGCAGCCAAGUCGGGGCUGGUACGUAUGGCGAAGUCGCGCAGAUAUCAGUGGAAGUCCCAACACUUCCAGCUGCAUCUGCCUGGUUGGACAAUAUGGCUGCAUUUAUCUGAUAUGCUGCUUAUCUGCUGAUCAUCGAUCCUCCCCCGCCAUAUUUCAUGGCCUCUCUCAAAAUUGGGUCGUUGGAUACAUGGGUCCAUUUAAGGUAAUCCCAGAGCGAACCGGGAUUAAUCCUGAAAUGGCCAGAUCGGCCGCCAGAUUCAUCCCGCCGCUGCAACUAUAGCCCUAUCGACCUAACCUAUCGAUAAAGUCCCUCCCAUUAUCGACUCCAAUUGCAACAUCUAUUAGUACAACGUAACCAAAUUCUUUUGGCCAGAUCUUACUUUCUAUACGAGGACACGCUCGGCAGGAUUUCCAUGUAGAAAGCGAAGUCCCACUCGGAAAGUUCCUUCGCACUGGGACUCUCUAGUGGAUCUCCUCCCGCACUUCAACUAUUCUGCGGACUUGCCCCUGUUGUGGUAUUGCUUCCUGUCGGUGAAAUCCCACAAUAAAGGGCAACAGCUUGGAUUAGGCGUUCUAUUUCAUUUGCACUGACCUCCUGCAGUCGAUUUUGGGGUUUUCCUUCCAUUUUUAGUUUUUAGUUUCCACAUCGCCUUUGCACGAACACCGCCAAAGAUAAAAUUUCUUAUUCUUUUGGCUGCGGCUAAGGGCUUUCAUCGAAAUUCACUCGCUAAAUCUGGUAUUUUUUCUGGGAUUUCCUUAGCUCAUCUGAGUACUGCGCUGAAAAACAGACCCGGCGAAAAGCGUUAGCCGCGUAUUUGCCUCUCGGUUACUCCUAUGGUUAGCUCGCGUUUUUCGUCGAUGUGAGUAUUAAGACACAAUGCAAGAACGAUAUGUGGAACUCCGAUCAGCGUGACCGUGCCGGAAAAAUUGAAGAAUUCCAUUUAUCCGUAAAAAAAAUACUAAAAUAUACUAUUUAAUGUUUCAGAAUAUACCAUUAAAAUACAAUUACAAAUGUGAGAUAAAA